AGAAUGAAGACUCGAUCGGCAAUAAACAAGGAUCCCAUUAGGGAGAGAGAACAACGCCCGGAGAUUCCAAUCAAUUCUCAACAAAGCCGUGAAAAUCGAGUGCAUUCUAUACAGCCUUCACCUUCAGGGGGCACGGCGAAGACAAGUAACAUUUCAACCUCAGAAAUUGGAGUUCAAACAGAAUUAUUGAUGGCGGAUCCUAGUUCCUGGCAUAUCAGUUUGUUUCCAAGUGACGUACAAAAUGCAAUUCGUGACUGGGAAUUAAAGAGACGAGAAUUUUGACCCUAGGAGAACGCCAAAUCCAAAAUAAAAGAUUGGGAAAGACAAAGAUUUAUUCACAUCCGGAAACUGACCAUACGAUUGAUUCUCUUAUAGUUUCAUUAUUAAAUGUUCUACUUUAAGUAAAUUUAUCACA
Long non-coding RNA from Ostrea edulis (European flat oyster), 415 nucleotides. RefSeq lists it as uncharacterized. The record is from RefSeq and is a predicted model, not a curated record. NCBI's taxonomy places the organism in Eukaryota, Metazoa, Mollusca, Bivalvia, Ostreida, Ostreidae. The transcript has 5 exons.